Small nucleolar RNA from Bombina bombina (fire-bellied toad), 86 nucleotides. RefSeq annotates it as small nucleolar RNA SNORD100. The record is from RefSeq and is a predicted model, not a curated record. The transcript has a single exon. NCBI's taxonomy places the organism in Eukaryota, Metazoa, Chordata, Amphibia, Anura, Bombinatoridae.
ACUGUACAUGAUGAUAACUUGGCUCCCUCUACUGAUUACUAUGAGGAGAGAUGCCUAUGUUACCCAAAAUAUUCUGAUGUUACAGC